GCACUGCUGACGAGUCCCGAACAGGACGAAACAGCUGUCCAAUGU
RNAcentral lists this non-coding RNA (45 nucleotides) under Echinostoma caproni. The record is from RNAcentral. Lineage: Eukaryota; Metazoa; Platyhelminthes; Trematoda; Plagiorchiida; Echinostomatidae.